GACGGUCUUGCUGUCACUUAUAGAUGGAUCCGCGCUGCAUUAGCUAGUUGGUAAGGUAACGGCUUACCAAGGCAACGAUGCAUAGCCGACCUGAGAGGGUGAUCGGCCACACUGGAACUGAGACACGGUCCAGACUCCUACGGGAGGCAGCAGUAGGGAAUCUUCCGCAAUGGGCGAAAGCCUGACGGAGCAACGCCGCGUGAGUGAUGAAGGUCUUCGGAUCGUAAAACUCUGUUAUUAGGGAAGAACAUAUGUGUAAGUAACUGUGCACAUCUUGACGGUACCUAAUCAGAAAGCCACGGCUAACUACGUGCCAGCAGCCGCGGUAAUACGUAGGUGGCAAGCGUUAUCCGGAAUUAUUGGGCGUAAAGCGCGCGUAGGCGGUUUUUUAAGUCUGAUGUGAAAGCCCACGGCUCAACCGUGGAGGGUCAUUGGAAACUGGAAAACUUGAGUGCAGAAGAGGAAAGUGGAAUUCCAUGUGUAGCGGUGAAAUGCGCAGAGAUAUGGAGGAACACCAGUGGCGAAGGCGACUUUCUGGUCUGUAACUGACGCUGAUGUGCGAAAGCGUGGGGAUCAAACAGGAUUAGAUACCCUGGUAGUCCACGCCGUAAACGAUGAGUGCUAAGUGUUAGGGGGUUUCCGCCCCUUAGUGCUGCAGCUAACGCAUUAAGCACUCCGCCUGGGGAGUACGACCGCAAGGUUGAAACUCAAAGGAAUUGACGGGGACCCGCACAAGCGGUGGAGCAUGUGGUUUAAUUCGAAGCAACGCGAAGAACCUUACCAAAUCUUGACAUCCUUUGACAACUCUAGAGAUAGAGCCUUCCCCUUCGGGGGACAAAGUGACAGGUGGUGCAUGGUUGUCGUCAGCUCGUGUCGUGAGAUGUUGGGUUAAGUCCCGCAACGAGCGCAACCCUUAAGCUUAGUUGCCAUCAUUAAGUUGGGCACUCUAAGUUGACUGCCGGUGACAAACCGGAGGAAGGUGGGGAUGACGUCAAAUCAUCAUGCCCCUUAUGAUUUGGGCUACACACGUGCUACAAUGGACAAUACAAAGGGCAGCGAAACCGCGAGGUCAAGCAAAUCCCAUAAAGUUGUUCUCAGUUCGGAUUGUAGUCUGCAACUCGACUACAUGAAGCUGGAAUCGCUAGUAAUCGUAGAUCAGCAUGCUACGGUGAAUACGUUCCCGGGUCUUGUACACACCGCCCGUCACACCACGAGAGUUUGUAACACCCGAAGCCGGUGGAGUAACCUUUUAGGAGCUAGCCGUCGAAGGUGGGACAAAUGAUUGGGGUGAAGUCGUAACAAGGUAGCCGUAUCGGAAGGUGCAGCUGGAUCACCUCCUUUCUAAGGA
RNAcentral lists this ribosomal RNA (1348 nucleotides) under Staphylococcus aureus. RNAcentral describes it as "bacterial SSU rRNA". It matches the Rfam family "Bacterial small subunit ribosomal RNA", at positions 202 to 1533 of the family's 1533-position model. Lineage: Bacteria; Bacillati; Bacillota; Bacilli; Caryophanales; Staphylococcaceae. The record is from RNAcentral.